This is a long non-coding RNA of Salvelinus fontinalis (brook trout), 3663 nucleotides long. RefSeq lists it as uncharacterized. The record is from RefSeq and is a predicted model, not a curated record. Lineage: Eukaryota; Metazoa; Chordata; Actinopteri; Salmoniformes; Salmonidae. The transcript is spliced from 5 exons.
GUACAUACAGGUCAGGUUAGGACCAGGUACAUACAGGUCAGGUUAGGACCAGGUACAUACAGGUCAGGUUAGGACCAGGUACAUACAGGUCAGGACCAGGUACAUACAGGUUAGGACCAGGUACAUACAGGUCAGGUCAGGACCAGGUACAUACAGGUUAUGUUAAGACCAGGUACAUACAGGUCAGGUUAGGACCAGGUACAUACAGGUCAGGUUAGGACCAGGUACAUACAGGUUAGGACCAGGUACAUACAGGGCAGGUUAGGACCAGGUACAUACAGGUCAGGUUAAGACCAGGUACAUACAGGUUAGGACCAGGUACAUACAGGUCAGGUUAGGACCAGGUACAUACAGGUCAGGUUAGGACCAGGUACAUACAGGUCAGGUUAGGACCAGGUACAUACAGGUUAGGACCAGGUACAUACAGGUUAGGACCAGGUACAUACAGGUCAGGUUAGGACCAGGUACAUACAGGUUAGGACCAGGUACAUACAGGUCAGGUUAGGACCAGGUACAUACAGGUUAGGACCAGGUACAUACAGGUCAGGUUAAGACCAGGUACAUACAGGUCAGGUUAGGACCAGGUAUAUACAGGUCAGGUCAGGACCAGGUACAUACAGGUUAGGACCAGGUACAUACAGGUCAGGUUAGGACCGGGUACAUACAGGUCAGGUUAGGACCAGGUACAUACAGGUCAGGUUAGGACCAGGUACAUACAGGUCAGGUUAGGACCAGGUACAUACAGGUCAGGUUAGGACCAGGUACAUACAGGUUAGGUUAGGACCAGGUACAUACAGGUUAGGACCAGGUACAUACAGGUCAGGUUAGGACCAGGUACAUACAGGUCAGGUCAGGACCAGGUAUAUACAGGUCAGGUUAAGACCAGGUACAUACAGGUUAGGACCAGGUACAUACAGGUCAGGUUAGGACCAGGUACAUACAGGUCAGGUUAGGACCAGGUACAUACAGGUUAGGACCAGGUACAUACAGGUUAGGUUAGGACCAGGUACAUACAGGUCAGGACCAGGUAUAUACAGGUCAGGUCAGGACCAGGUAUAUACAGGUCAGGUUAAGACCAGGUACAUACAGGUUAGGACCAGGUACAUACAGGUCAGGUUAGGACCAGGUACAUAUAGGUUAGGACCAGGUACAUACAGGUCAGGACCAGGUAUAUACAGGUCAGGUCAGGACCAGGUACAUACAGGUCAGGUCAGGACCAGGUACAUACAGGUUAGGUUAAGACCAGGUACAUACAGGUCAGGUUAGGACCAGGUACAUAGGUCAGGUUAGGACCAGGUACAUACAGGUCAGGUUAGGACCAGGUACAUACAGGUCAGGUUAGGACCAGGUACAUACAGGUCAGGUCAGGACCAGGUACAUACAGGUCAGGUUAGGACCAGGUACUUACAGGUCAGGUUAGGACCAGGUACAUACAGGUCAGGUCAGGACCAGGUACAUACAGGUCAGGACCAGGUACAUACAGGUCAGGUUAGGACCAGGUAUAUACAGGUCAGGUUAAGACCAGGUACAUACAGGUUAGGACCAGGUACAUACAGGUCAGGUUAGGACCAGGUACAUAUAGGUUAGGACCAGGUACAUACAGGUCAGGACCAGGUAUAUACAGGUCAGGUCAGGACCAGGUACAUACAGGUCAGGUCAGGACCAGGUACAUACAGGUUAGGUUAAGACCAGGUACAUACAGGUCAGGUUAGGACCAGGUACAUACAGGUCAGGUUAGGACCAGGUACAUACAGGUUAGGACCAGGUACAUACAGGGCAGGUUAGGACCAGGUACAUACAGGUCAGGUUAAGACCAGGUACAUACAGGUUAGGACCAGGUACAUACAGGUCAGGUUAGGACCAGGUACAUACAGGUCAGGUUAGGACCAGGUACAUACAGGUCAGGUUAGGACCAGGUACAUACAGGUUAGGACCAGGUACAUACAGGUCAGGUUAGGACCAGGUACAUACAGGUUAGGACCAGGUACAUACAGGUCAGGUUAGGACCAGGUACAUACAGGUUAGGACCAGGUACAUACAGGUCAGGUUAAGACCAGGUACAUACAGGUCAGGUUAGGACCAGGUAUAUACAGGUCAGGUCAGGACCAGGUACAUACAGGUUAGGACCAGGUACAUACAGGUCAGGUUAGGACCGGGUACAUACAGGUCAGGUUAGGACCAGGUACAUACAGGUCAGGUUAGGACCAGGUACAUACAGGUCAGGUUAGGACCAGGUACAUACAGGUCAGGUUAGGACCAGGUACAUACAGGUUAGGUUAGGACCAGGUACAUACAGGUUAGGACCAGGUACAUUCAGGUCAGGUUAGGACCAGGUACAUACAGGUCAGGUCAGGACCAGGUAUAUACAGGUCAGGUUAAGACCAGGUACAUACAGGUUAGGACCAGGUACAUACAGGUCAGGUUAGGACCAGGUACAUACAGGUCAGGUUAGGACCAGGUACAUACAGGUUAGGACCAGGUACAUACAGGUUAGGUUAGGACCAGGUACAUACAGGUCAGGACCAGGUAUAUACAGGUCAGGUCAGGACCAGGUAUAUACAGGUCAGGUUAAGACCAGGUACAUACAGGUUAGGACUAGGUACAUACAGGUCAGGUUAGGACCAGGUACAUAUAGGUUAGGACCAGGUACAUACAGGUCAGGACCAGGUAUAUACAGGUCAGGUCAGGACCAGGUAUAUACAGGUCAGGUCAGGACCAGGUACAUACAGGUCAGGUUAGGACCAGGUACAUACAGGUCAGGUCAGGACCAGGUACAUACAGGUCAGGUCAGGACCAGGUACAUACAGGUUAGGACCAGGUACAUACAGGUCAGGUUAGGACCAGGUACAUACAGGUCAGGUUAGGACCAGGUACAUACAGGUUAGGACCAGGUACAUACAGGUCAGGUUAGGACCAGGUACAUACAGGUUAGGUUAAGACCAGGUACAAACAGGUUAGGACCAGGUACAUACAGGUCAGGUUAGGACCAGGUACAUACAGGUCAGGUUAGGACCAGGUACAUACAGGUUAGGUUAAGACCAGGUACAAACAGGUCAGGACCAGGUACAUACAGGUCAGGUUAGGACCAGGUACAUACAGGUCAGGUUAGGACCAGGUACAUACAGGUCAGGUUAGGACCAGGUACAUACAGGUCAGGUUAGGACCAGGUACAUACAGGUCAGGUUAGGACCAGGUACAUACAGGUUAGGACCAGGUACAUACAGGUCAGGUCAGGACCAGGUACAUACAGGUCAGGUUAGGACCAGGUACAUACAGGUCAGGUUAGGACCAGGUACAUACAGGUCAGGUUAGGACCAGGUACAUACAGGUUAGUUUAAGACCAGGUACAAACAGGUUAGGACCAGGUACAUACAGGUUAGGUUAAGACCAGGUACAAACAGGUCAGGACCAGGUACAUACAGGUCAGGUUAGGACCAGGUACAUACAGGUCAGGUUAGGACCAGGUACAUACAGGUCAGGUUAGGACCAGGUACAUACAGGUCAGGUUAGGACCAGGUACAUACAGGUUAGGACCAGGUACAUACAGGUCAGGUCAGGACCAGGUACAUACAGGUUAGGACCAGGUACAUACAGGUCAGGUUAGGACCAGGUACAUACAGGUCAGGUUAGGACCAGGUACAUACAGGUCAGGUUAGGACCAGG